Molecule: ribosomal RNA, 530 nt
Filed under: uncultured bacterium
Lineage: Bacteria
Description: partial 16S ribosomal RNA
Rfam family: Bacterial small subunit ribosomal RNA
Source: RNAcentral
GACGAACGCUGGCGGCGUGCCUAAUACAUGCAAGUCGAACGAACUCUGGUAUUGAUUGGUGCUUGCAUCAUGAUUUACAUUUGAGUGAGUGGCGAACUGGUGAGUAACACGUGGGAAACCUGCCCAGAAGCGGGGGAUAACACCUGGAAACAGAUGCUAAUACCGCAUAACAACUUGGACCGCAUGGUCCGAGCUUGAAAGAUGGCUUCGGCUAUCACUUUUGGAUGGUCCCGCGGCGUAUUAGCUAGAUGGUGGGGUAACGGCUCACCAUGGCAAUGAUACGUAGCCGACCUGAGCUGGUAAUCGGCCACAUUGGGACUGAGACACGGCCCAAACUCCUACGGGAGGCAGCAGUAGGGAAUCUUCCACAAUGGACGAAAGUCUGAUGGAGCAACGCCGCGUGAGUGAAGAAGGGUUUCGGCUCGUAAAACUCUGUUGUUAAAGAAGAACAUAUCUGAGAGUAACUGUUCAGGUAUUGACGGUAUUUAACCAGAAAGCCACGGCUAACUACGUGCCAGCAGCCGCCGUAA